RNAcentral lists this ribosomal RNA (933 nucleotides) under Faecalibacterium sp. Marseille-Q4164. RNAcentral's name for it is "partial 23S ribosomal RNA". It matches the Rfam family "Bacterial large subunit ribosomal RNA", at positions 1100 to 2050 of the family's 2925-position model. Lineage: Bacteria; Bacillati; Bacillota; Clostridia; Eubacteriales; Oscillospiraceae. The record is from RNAcentral.
GUUGGCUCAGAAGCAGCCACUCAUUCAAAGAGUGCGUAAUAGCUCACUGGUCGAGUGAUCCUGCGCCGAAGAUUUCCGGGGCUAAAACUUACUACCGAAGCUACGGCAUCAGUAAUGAUGGGUAGGGGAGCUUCCCAUACGGGUUGAAGCAUGACCGUAAGGACAUGUGGACAGUAUGGGAGUGAGAAUGUUGGCAUGAGUAGCGAGAUGUGGGUGGGAAUCCCACAGGCCGUAAACCCAAGGUUUCCAGGGGAAGGUUCGUCCGCCCUGGGUUAGUCGGGACCUAAGCUGAGGCCGAAAGGCGUAGGUGAUGGACAACAGGUUGAUAUUCCUGUACUACCGAUAACCGUUUGAGAGAAGGGAUGACACAGUAGGAUAAGCUAAGCACACUGUUGGUUAUGUGUGCCCAAGCAUUGAGGCAGUCAAAGUAGGCAAAUCCGCUUUGAUAAUGCUGGGAUGUGAUGGGGAGCGAAAUUUAGUAGCGAAGUAGCUGAUUUCACACUGUCAAGAAAAGUCUCUAUCGAGGUUAAAGGUACCCGUACCGCAAACCGACACAGGUGGGUGAGGAGAGUAUCCUAAGGCCAGCGAGAGAACUGUUGUUAAGGAACUCGGCAAAAUGACCCCGUAACUUAGGGAUAAGGGGUGCCACCAUCAGGUGGCCGCAGAGAAUAGGCCCAAGCGACUGUUUACCAAAAACAUAGGUUUCUGCUAAGUCGCAAGACGAUGUAUAGGAGCUGACGCCUGCCCGGUGCUGGAAGGUUAAGGGGAUCUGUUAGAGCAAUCGAAGCAGUGAACUUAAGCCCCAGUAAACGGCGGCCGUAACUAUAACGGUCCUAAGGUAGCGAAAUUCCUUGUCGGGUAAGUUCCGACCCGCACGAAAGGCGUAACGAUUUGGGCACUGUCUCAACAACAGACUCGGUGAAAUUGUAAUUC